GCCGCUGCCGCCGCCGCCACCCAACUAAGCCUCGCCGCUCACCAGAGCCCAUCCUCGCUGCUCGCCGGCUACACAUGCGCAGCCUCCUUCUCCCAGGUCGAUUCCCCUACAGCCGCCGUACUCCCGCACCCCCAGUCGCACCCAUGCGCAAACCCUAGCGCUCCCCUGCCGGCCGGCGCCGACGACGAUGCAGAAUGCCCUCGCUUGGCUUCUGCUCCUUCUCCCCUACCUCCUAUGUCAAGUAUGGCCCUCCUCGUCGGUCGUCCGGUCCGGGGACAUGGAAGCCGACCUGCUGCUCGCCUCCGACGAGGGGCGACCUCCUACGUGCCGGCAUUCUCCUCUUCUCCGACCACCACGCGCGACCUGGCCUCCCUGGCUUGGGAUGGACUCCCUGACAUGGACACGCAGCAGUGGCUGAGGCUCAAUCCGGCACGCGCGGGAGAUGGAGGCUCUCAUCCAUGUCUCCGAUCCAUCCGCCUCAAGCUCACCCGUCUUCGCUAUUGAGCAGGAGAAGCUCCUUGGAUGGUGGCGACCACAGUGGCGCUCACACUAGCGUUGAUGCCACGUCACACACCCUACUGCCGGGCCUCUCCGCCGCCCGGACUGAGAGACAGGAGGCGGUCAAAUUACCUCUGCCCCACAGUAGAUGUAGCUGGCCAACAAGCUGCAGCCCUGGGACCCUCAUUGGUGUCAUUGGAGCCUGCACUGUGCGCAAGCGCAUCUGGGUAUCCUAGAUGUCUCCGGCUCUGGCUGCAUUCCCGUCUCCAAGCCAGCCUCCACCGCCAACCUCGAGUUCAAUGGCAACAGUUGUAUGGGUGUUAUGUUGGUGCGAGACAGAUAGAUUGAGCAGACACAACUCAUCGGCGGGUGCCGACCACAGCCAUGCUCUUGGUAUCGGCACAGCCACUGCACCAUGUGCCCUCCUGCUUGCUACCCUGCCCUGGCCUAGUUGAUGAGCCAAGGUCGUCUGAAGCUUGGAGUUGCCAUCCACUCGGUGGCGACUGGGCAACCUCCUCCCCAUGAAGCCUUUCACAAUGCCCGGCUCCGUCCUCGCCAACAACAAGGCCACGAGAACGCUCUACAUGAUUGGAUUUAGGAUAGGACCAAUCUUCCAUGUACCUAUCAAUAAUCACGUACAUAAUCUUCUUAUAUGUCAGUGCUUUAGACUAAGAAGUGGCGUUACCCAUAGAUUUUGCUCCAGGAGAAAUUUACCUGUAUCUCGACUCCGCGUUAUUGUGUCACUGUGGCAACAGUGUCAAUUUACAGCCUUCUCAUCAUCAACAAGUCCGGUGGCCUUAUAUACUACAAAAGGACUAUGGUUCGGCUGGGAGAAUGGACAACAAUGACAGUCUACAAUUUGCAAGCCACUCACAUUUGAUGCAUGCUGUCUUGCAUCAGCUGUCCCCUACCAUGGUUGUAAUGGCAUUAACAUCUUACAGGCUGCAGCUUCAACCUUCAUUGCUUCCAUUCUCCCAUAAGUAUUCACUUUUGUCAUGUUUCUCUUCUUCUUAUAGAAAUGGAGUGUUAACAACCUGAACAUCUUUCUAGGACUAUGGUUCGGCUAGGAGAAUGGACACCAACGACAGUCUACAAUUUGCAAGCCACUCACAUUUGAUGCAUGAUGUCUUGCAUCAGCUGUCCCCUACCGUGGUUGUAAUGGCAUUAACAUCUUACAGGCCUGCAGCUUCAACCUCCAUUGCUUUCAUUCUCCCAUAAGUAUUCACUUUUGUCAUGUUUCUUCUAAUUUGCUUAACAGAUCCUAUCUACAUGCUAUAGGUAGUUUCAAUAUUUUUUAUUUGGAGAGGAUUCCAUAUAUUAGUGGACUCAUGAAGUAUAGGAAAAUCCUAGCGCUCUCUAUCUUACCAUUUUACUCCUUAUCUGUGCUAAGGUUAUGUUUUAGACACCAAUUCUUAUAAUUAAUAUGCAGUUCUAGCAAUAUUAUCAAAGCAUCUUCUAUGAAGGUAUUGCUAUUAAUGCCGGCCUUACAAAGGCUUAGGAACAGAAAGGUUUUGUCUUUGGCUUCCAUGGUGGCGGCAGCCUGACCGAAUGGACCAUGUAGAUCCGAUGUUGCCAGCCGAUAAGCCGCAGCCCUUGGACCCUCGGGCCCUGACUGUCUGCGAGCAUUAGGAGUUCAAUCGUAAACCAGGUGUUAGAAGACAUCACCAAAACUGAUUCGUGGUACCCGUACGCAGACAUUCGGAAGGGAUAAAGAAAAUAGUUAAAUUACCCGAGCCACAUGGAAAUUGAACUUGUCAUGUCAACAAUUCUGGUGGACGGGGGUCUGUCUUUGGGCAUCAAGAUGGAGAAGCUUUGUUCAACGUUGUGAGAGGACUUGACAAUAUUCAGGGUGCGCUCCAAGCUGAGAUUAUGGCAGCAAGGAAGGCUAUUAGCAUCGGAAUUAACCUAGGAGAUCUAUUUCUAACGGUUACAUUGUUGGGAGAUGCACGAUGUUCUUCGGAAGAUCCUCCUUCCAACAACCAAGCUAGAGAAGUUCAGUGAGGAACCAUCUCAAUGAUGUCACUUGCCCUCGGCUUCACCUACUUUCGGCUUCGCCUCUGUCCUGGCUGCACGGUAUAGGUGUGAUUCUUCUUCACCCCUCCUUGUGUGCCAACAACUUUUCAUUUGAGAAAACACAAUCAAUAUAUAUUAUUGAAUAAUGGUGCCAAUAAGACAAUACCACAUGCAAAAGUAUCAAUACUCAUACACAAACAAUUGAGAGAAUUGACUGCCAAUUCUAAAGGGGGAUGAACUACCUUUUCCAGAAACCUAUUACAAAUCUGUAUCGAAAAAACAUAGUACAACCGUGCUAUCUAUCCAAAAAAAAUAACUUUCAAGCCUUUUUAGUAAUGGCAAUACAUGUGCAACAGACAAACAAAUAAGAAAUCUACAAAUGAUCCUGCUAUGUGAUUUAAAAAUUCUUUGGUGCAUGAUUUAAAAAUUAUAUCAUUUUGGCUGCCCAAGAGUCGCACUGUCAAUGCCUUGGUGUAUGAUUUCUCUAAACAUUGGAAAUGGCCAGGUUCAUGAGUAUGCUUCUUUUUUGCAUCAUUUGUGAACAAUUAAAUUGCACAAUUGACUGGUUUCCUCUCAUAUUUGGAUACAUCCAGAUAAUUGAAAGCCACCAUGUUGCAUUACAAUGUACAAUCUAUUAUUGUACUUUUAAUUAUCAAGGUGGCUAUAAUUUCUAUUACUAGAAUCUCCAGAGAUUGCUUCCUUCUAUGGAUGCUCCAUAAAAUUUAGCAUUACAGUUUUAUGGAUGGUUUAUAGAAUUUGUUGUUGGAACUUAAACAUGGUACAAAUGACACUGAAUGGUUGUUUUUAUUGCAUGGUUGUUUUUUUAGUUUCCGUGAUUACUAUAUAUAGUGAUAACUGAUAUAUAAAACCCCGCUUUGUUGUGGUGCAUCAGUUCUGCAUAUAUUAAAGAUAGAUUCUCAUGGCCUUUUAUAUUCCAUAGUUGUGUCAAUAUAUGGCAUGUGCUAAAGAAAUAAAAUUCCUUUAUUUUCCCAUCUUUAAACAAUUAAUAGGUCAGUGGUUCAUGAGAAGAUGGAUGGAUGUUGUGUUAUGUUUCUUGCCAUUUUUUGUGAUGCUUAGUAGUACUGUGUGAUGGAUCUAGCAGCAAGUAGCAGAACCCCCAUGAUGCAAGCACUGAUUUCUUGUAUUGUAUACCAGUGUGUGUCAUCGAAGCAAGCAAGCAGUAUUAAGGUAGUUUGCAAGCCUACUGUCGUUUAGGCACAAAAGAUUGUUUAAAAUUCAGGAUGGAGCCCAGGUCGCAUUUAUGGUGGCAUCGCCUCUUAUACCAAGGCGUAGUCUUGCUUGGACAGUACGAUGUUCCACAUUGUUUGCUUAUAUGUGUUUACUUAUGGUGGUAUAUAUAACUUGUUAUGCUCUAAUCAUUUGAUGGUCACUGUUAUUCACCGAAGUUGCACAUUCGUGAAGAGUACUUCGAGACUGUAGCUUUGAAGUUUUGACCUUUUUUCGGUCUCUCAGAAAUUAUGUUGCGCAGGUAGAACUAGUAGAUGAUAUGGAUUGCAAGUGAUAUUCUUCUUGUUGUUUUUAUCUAGAGACAUUUGCACAAAUUCUGGGUACCUACAUAAUCGAAAUAUUUCUUUAUAUAUCCGAUGAGGUUUUGUUCCUAGAGAUAGUAGAGCUAUUUUUCUGUCAAGACGGGAAUGCAUUACUUGUUAAAACAGAAUCAUCUCGUUUCUGCUUUAUGGUUGCUUGUCUAGCUAGUUGGACGCCACUGGUAAUCAUAAUGUGGUUUCGUCUCUCUCAAACAACCCAUAGAUAUUUUCUUGUCGGUCAUGUUAUAUACUAGUAGCUCAAGUGACACAGGUCUUGAUUGUGAAGAGUAGCCCAAGAAGUGAUAUUUCCAUCUUGUUUUCUCCUCCUUUUAUUGGUCACAAAGUGACAAAACCAACUAAUGGAGAGGCAGUAAUGCUGGUGUAUUAGCGAGUUGAUAACUGGUUAGAUGCAUACUUUAUAUUUUUGUAUGGAAGCAUGAUGUGUGAAACUAUGAUGUGGUCAAUCUUAAAUUGUUGAGCUAUAUUUUCCACCGUAUUUAUGCAUGGUUGAUGUAUUAAGCGUUCCCUAGGGAUAGAUGUUAUCCGAGGUGGUGAUUUUCCGUGUUAGUUAUGUUAAACUUUACAGGCUCCUUAGCUGAAAUAUCAAUUAUAUUGUCUUGGUUGAUAUAUAAAGCAUUACCUAGGGUCGAUGUUAUUGGGGGUGGAGAUAAUUUUCCCCUUAUCUUGCCUCUUUCUAUUUCAUGCUGUUGGCGCCAAGGGGACCUACUGCAAGAGGCAAAUGAUCACUUACGGCAACAAAUGCGGUCUCGGCCCUGGCUACAAAUCCCUGAUGGUGAACCCCCGUCACACCUGGAUCUGUUGUUGACGUCUAAAGACGACCACAUCCCCAAGAAAAUGCUAUGAGUAAUUGAAAAAGAUUGCUAUGUAUAUGGAACAUGGACGACCGAAUAUACUUUUAUGCUAGGCCAAGUAACAAACGAGAAUCAUAUAAUCCAAGGUCUGAAUUAUGUAGGUAAUUUGUUGCUACUACACAUGCAUAUGCUUUUUUCACUUAGUGUAUGUAUUUGAGUAUUGAGACAAACACAAGAUAGAUUAUGUAUCUUGUUUGCAUUGUUCACCACCAAUUCGAGUUAGAGUUGUUGUUCGCAUUACUGUUUUAUUGUGAUCCGAACGCAGAUGUUAGUUGAAAAUUUGUAUGUGCAGAUUGCUGGGAUAAUGUCUAUUAUCUAAAAUACUCCCCAUAUGAAAACAUCUUAUGCAAAAUAGGUUGUAUUCCCUCGUUGUUCCGUAGUCCCCGUCUGAAAACAUAUCAAGGAACCAGAAAAGUUAAUAAUCAAGUGGUUCUUCAUAUCAUCUUUAGAAACUGAUAUGUGCUAUCAUGCUUUAGACA
Lolium rigidum is the source of this 5409-nucleotide long non-coding RNA. RefSeq lists it as uncharacterized. The transcript has 11 exons. The record is from RefSeq and is a predicted model, not a curated record. Lineage: Eukaryota; Viridiplantae; Streptophyta; Magnoliopsida; Poales; Poaceae.